This 74-nucleotide transfer RNA is filed under the name Fluviicoccus keumensis. It matches the Rfam family "tRNA". From Rfam's summary of the family: Transfer RNA (tRNA) molecules are approximately 80 nucleotides in length. Their secondary structure includes four short double-helical elements and three loops (D, anti-codon, and T loops). Further hydrogen bonds mediate the characteristic L-shaped molecular structure. tRNAs have two regions of fundamental functional importance: the anti-codon, which is responsible for specific mRNA codon recognition, and the 3' end, to which the tRNAs corresponding amino acid is attached (by aminoacyl-tRNA synthetases). tRNAs cope with the degeneracy of the genetic code in two manners: having more than one tRNA (with a specific anti-codon) for a particular amino acid; and 'wobble' base-pairing, i.e. permitting non-standard base-pairing at the 3rd anti-codon position. Lineage: Bacteria; Pseudomonadati; Pseudomonadota; Gammaproteobacteria; Moraxellales; Moraxellaceae. The record is from Rfam by way of RNAcentral.
CGGGGCGUAGCGCAGCCUGGUAGCGCACUUGCAUGGGGUGCAAGGGGUCGCGAGUUCAAAUCCCGCCGUCCCGA